This 211-nucleotide ribosomal RNA is filed under the name Triparma pacifica. Its description in RNAcentral is "partial Eukaryotic large subunit ribosomal RNA". It matches the Rfam family "Eukaryotic large subunit ribosomal RNA", at positions 2429 to 2633 of the family's 3401-position model. The record is from RNAcentral. Lineage: Eukaryota; Bolidophyceae; Parmales; Triparmaceae.
UAGUCCGACGUUGUGAAAUGACUUGGGAGGUGUAGCAUAAGUGGGAGACUUUGUCGACUUUGAAAUACCACUACUCUCAAUGUUGUUUUACUUAUCCCGUUAAGUAGAGGCCGUCAGGUUAACCCCUGCUCGGUUCUAGUAUUAAGCUGGGCUCUUUUGUCCGGUGAUCUACGCGGGAGACAACGUCAGGUGUGGAGUUUGGCUGGGGCGG